Molecule: long non-coding RNA, 729 nt
Filed under: Glycine max (soybean)
Lineage: Eukaryota; Viridiplantae; Streptophyta; Magnoliopsida; Fabales; Fabaceae
Description: long non-coding RNA (GMAX_LNC000249)
Source: RNAcentral
AGGGCAUGAACCAAUCACACUAGUUAAACACAAUUACACUUAUCUUUUUUUGGUAAAGUAAGGAAAAAAAAUAAAAUAGAACUACACUGAGAAACUAUCAAAGGCUAAACUAAUUCCAUUUGAUGCUAAGGCAUUAGCAACUGUAUUUGGCUCUUGAGGAACAACAACAAUCUCUAGCUACCAUUCCCUGUAAGUCACAACAUGAAUUGCACUCAGAAUAUCUCUGUGAGUAUGCAAGUCUGCCAUAUCAGAAUUCGCCUCGUGGAUUGCUUUUACUGCUUCCAAACAAUCUGUCUCGCAAAUAACCUUUGUGAAAACCACCCUCCUAAAGGUGGUCAUGACCUCUUCUUCUUCUUGAAGCCCUCCCUUUUCCUCUGAUUGUUUCCCAUGAUGGGCAAAGGAUGGGGUGUCUCGCAGAUGGUCUCUUGUGGGGUGGGAGACGUUGUGCAAACCUAUAAUCCAAGGGGGGUUUGGGCGUGAGAGAUUCGCGCCAAGCAAAUACAGCGUUGUUGGGAAAACUCACUAGAGAAGUUCUGGGUUAAGGUAUUACAACAUAAGUAUUUGUGAAAUACUUUAGUGUUGGAAGUGGUGAGGGGAUCAUGACCUUCUUAUGUUUGGCCCAACAUCGUGAAAGCGUUGAGGGUACUUCGUAAUGGUUUCAACCUGCUUGCUCAUUUGAAGGAGUUUCUAGUGAGCAUUUUAGCCAUCUUAAUUAAAUACCAAUAAACA